This 212-nucleotide ribosomal RNA is filed under the name uncultured bacterium. RNAcentral's name for it is "partial 16S ribosomal RNA". It matches the Rfam family "Bacterial small subunit ribosomal RNA", at positions 524 to 732 of the family's 1533-position model. The record is from RNAcentral.
UACGUAGGAAGCAAGCGUUGUCCGGUAAUUACUGGCGUAAAGCGCGUGUAGGCGGUACGACAAGUCUGCUGUGAAAGCGCCCCGGCUUAACCGGGCGAGGUCGGUGGAAACUGUCGCACUGGAGGCCGGUAGAGGGGGGGGUGGAAUUCCCGGUGUAGUGGUGAAAUGCGUAGAGAUCGGGAGGAACACCUGUGGCGAAGGCGGCCCCCUGG